This 99-nucleotide non-coding RNA is filed under the name human gut metagenome. Its description in RNAcentral is "THF riboswitch". It matches the Rfam family "THF (Tetrahydrofolate) riboswitch aptamer". Rfam says of the family: THF riboswitch presents a pseudoknot that joins P1-P2 and the loop of P3 and two THF binding. RNAcentral also lists the same sequence under 1 other name. The record is from RNAcentral.
GCAGAGUAAAAAACCGCGCGUAAAGUGUCGCCGGAACGGGGAGUUGUCCGGCGGACGAAAAGAGUCGCUUCUUGCGGUGCGGUUUUUGCAUCCCGCUGC